Molecule: ribosomal RNA, 253 nt
Filed under: uncultured bacterium
Lineage: Bacteria
Description: partial 16S ribosomal RNA
Rfam family: Bacterial small subunit ribosomal RNA
Source: RNAcentral
UACGUAGGGGGCAAGCGUUGUCCGGAAUCAUUGGGCGUAAAGAGCGUGUAGGCGGUUCGGUAAGUCGGCUGUGAAAGUCCAGGGCUCAACCCUGGGAUGCCGGUCGAUACUGCCGGACUAGAGUUCGGAAGAGGCGAGUGGAAUUCCCGGUGUAGCGGUGAAAUGCGCAGAUAUCAGGAAGAACACCAAUGGCGAAGGCAGCUCUCUGGGACGGUACUGACGCUGAGACGCGAAAGCGUGGGGAGCGAACAGG